Molecule: transfer RNA, 74 nt
Filed under: Perkinsus olseni
Lineage: Eukaryota; Perkinsozoa; Perkinsida; Perkinsidae
Description: tRNA-Arg
Rfam family: tRNA
About the family: Transfer RNA (tRNA) molecules are approximately 80 nucleotides in length.
Source: RNAcentral
GCUCUGGUGGCUCAAUCGGAUAGAGCGUUGGACUUCUAAUCCGAAGGUUGCGGGUUCAAAUCCCGCCCAGAGUA